This 529-nucleotide ribosomal RNA is filed under the name uncultured bacterium. Its description in RNAcentral is "partial 16S ribosomal RNA". It matches the Rfam family "Bacterial small subunit ribosomal RNA", at positions 355 to 874 of the family's 1533-position model. The record is from RNAcentral.
UGGGGAAUUUUGGACAAUUGGGCGAAAGCCUGAUCCAGCAAUGCCGCGUGUGUGAAGAAGGCCUUCGGGUUGUAAAGCACUUUUGUCCGGAAAGAAAUCCUUGGCUCUAAUACAGUCGGGGGAUGACGGUACCGGAAGAAUAAGCACCGGCUAACUACGUGCCAGCAGCCGCGGUAAUACGUAGGGUGCAAGCGUUAAUCGGAAUUACUGGGCGUAAAGCGUGCGCAGGCGGUUUGCUAAGACCGAUGUGAAAUCCCCGGGCUCAACCUGGGAACUGCAUUGGUGACUGGCAGGCUAGAGUAUGGCAGAGGGGGGUAGAAUUCCACGUGUAGCAGUGAAAUGCGUAGAGAUGUGGAGGAAUACCGAUGGCGAAGGCAGCCCCCUGGGCAAGUACUGACGCUCAUGCACGAAAAGCGUGGGGAGCAAACNGGAUUAAUACCCUGGUAGUCCACGCCCUAAAANGAUGUCAACUAGUUGUUGGGGAUUCAUUUUCCUUAGUAACGUAGCUAACGCGUGAAGUUGACCGCCU